This 465-nucleotide ribosomal RNA is filed under the name Vreelandella stevensii. RNAcentral's name for it is "partial 16S ribosomal RNA". It matches the Rfam family "Bacterial small subunit ribosomal RNA", at positions 338 to 795 of the family's 1533-position model. Lineage: Bacteria; Pseudomonadati; Pseudomonadota; Gammaproteobacteria; Oceanospirillales; Halomonadaceae. The record is from RNAcentral.
CCUACGGGCGGCAGCAGUGGGGAAUAUUGGACAAUGGGGGGAACCCUGAUCCAGCCAUGCCGCGUGUGUGAAGAAGGCCCUCGGGUUGUAAAGCACUUUCAGUGAGGAAGAACGCCUGGUGGUUAAUACCCAUCAGGAAAGACAUCACUCACAGAAGAAGCACCGGCUAACGCCGUGCCAGCAGCCGCGGUAAUACGGAGGGUGCGAGCGUUAAUCGGAAUUACUGGGCGUAAAGCGCGCGUAGGUGGCUUGAUAAGCCGGUUGUGAAAGCCCCGGGCUCAACCUGGGAACGGCAUCCGGAACUGUCAAGCUAGAGUGCAGGAGAGGAAGGUAGAAUUCCCGGUGUAGCGGUGAAAUGCGUAGAGAUCGGGAGGAAUACCAGUGGCGAAGGCGGCCUUCUGGACUGACACUGACACUGAGGUGCGAAAGCGUGGGUAGCAAACAGGAUUAGAUACCCCUGUAGUC